Molecule: ribosomal RNA, 253 nt
Filed under: uncultured bacterium
Lineage: Bacteria
Description: partial 16S ribosomal RNA
Rfam family: Bacterial small subunit ribosomal RNA
Source: RNAcentral
UACGUAGGGGGCAAGCGUUGUCCGGAAUCAUUGGGCGUAAAGCGCGUGUAGGCGGCUCGGUAAGUCUGCUGUGAAAGUCCAGGGCUCAACCCUGGGAUGCCGGUGGAUACUGUCGAGCUCGAGUCCGGAAGAGGCGAGUGGAAUUCCUGGUGUAGCGGUGAAAUGCGCAGAUAUCAGGAGGAACACCAAUGGCGAGGGCAGCUCGCUGGGACGUGACUGACGCUGAGACGCGAAAGCGUGGGGAGCAAACAGG